UGCAGUCGACGAAGCCCGCCCUUCGGGGCGGUGACUGAGUGGCAAACGGCUGAGUAACGCGUAGGUGACCUGUCCCGAGGAGGGGGACAACCCGCGGAAACGCGGGCUAAUACCCCAUACGCCCAUCGGCUCGGACCGGUGGGGAAAUGUUCCGGCGCCUUGGGAGGGGCCUGCGUCCGAUUAGCUAGUUGGUGGGGUAACGGCUCACCAAGGCGACGAUCGGCAGCUGGUCUGAGAGGAUGAUCAGCCAGACUGGGACUGAGACACGGCCCAGACUCCUACGGGAGGCAGCAGCGAGGAAUCUUGCGCAAUGGGCGAAAGCCUGACGCAGCAACGCCGCGUGGGUGAAGAAGGCCUUCGGGUUGUAAAUCCCUUUUGUCGGGGAAGAAGUUCUGACGGUACCCGGCGAAUAAGCCACGGCUAACUACGUGCCAGCAGCCGCGGUAAGACGUAGGUGGCGAGCGUUAUCCGGAUUUACUGGGCGUAAAGCGUACGUAGGCGGCAUCGGAAGUCUGCCGUGAAAUCUCCCGGCUCAACCGGGAGCGGACGGUGGAAACUCCGACGCUCGAGGGGCGUAGAGGCAAGCGGAAUUCCCGGAGUAGUGGUGGAAUGCGUAGAUACCGGGAGGAACACCAGUGGCGAAAGCGGCUUGCCAGGCGCAUCCUGACGCUGAGUACGAAAGCGUGGGGAGCGAACCGGAUUAGAUACCCGGGUAGUCCACGCCGUAAACGAUGGAUGCUAGACGUGGGGGGUAUCGACCCCCUCUGUGUCGCAGCUAACGCAAUAAGCAUCCCGCCUGGGGACUACGGCCGCAGGCUAAACUCAAAGAUUGACGGGGGC
Molecule: ribosomal RNA, 840 nt
Filed under: uncultured bacterium
Lineage: Bacteria
Description: bacterial SSU rRNA
Rfam family: Bacterial small subunit ribosomal RNA
Source: RNAcentral